RNAcentral lists this long non-coding RNA (395 nucleotides) under Marmota monax (woodchuck). Lineage: Eukaryota; Metazoa; Chordata; Mammalia; Rodentia; Sciuridae. The record is from RNAcentral.
UCAGCAAGGUCUAGAGGCCAAGGAGGAGGCAGAGGCCAUAGCUGCGGGGCUGCAGCAAGCAGAGUCUUUUCCUGCCCCACAGGCAGUCUGAGGCGGCCAGACACCAUCCUGGGGAGGAUCCUGAGGGGGAGAUAUGGCCCUUUCUCUGGGGGCCAUUUGGAGGACUUGGGCCAAUCCUGAGCGAGCUUCCCUCAUUGGGGAGACACUGUGUGUCAGAAAGGCAGCUGUCGACCCUCUGAAGACACCUGGGCUAUGGGGGUUGUGGUCAGGGAGAAAGCUGUUUGCCCACCUGUAGAUGGGGAGUCCCACCUUGAAGGGGAGGCAUGGCCCUUUCUUGGGGAACAUAGGCCUGAGGGACAGAUGGGGCUUCAUCUUGAUGUAAGCGGAAGCCUGGG